AAGGCGCCUAACAACCAGGAUGAAAACAGUUGUCAACUUGGACAUCAACGGCAGACAUUACACCAGACUCGUUUUGACAUGAUUUUCCACUAUAUACAUACCUAAGGAUGCCAAACCUGCGUGCUGUUCAUACCACCUCAUGGGUUUGUUUGUUGAGCUGGCCAAGCCAGUUGUUGACGAUCUAUAAUAUCUCCAUGUUGACAUUGUCUUUCCUUCCUAUAAUCCAUAUACCUCUACUAUUCUUUUCGUCUCUAUACGCUUGGCGCAGAACUACAAUUGACAUAGAUAUCGAACACGGUGGACGAAGAGACCAUUCGUGCGUGGCGACUACCUUUACUCCAAGUUUUCCUCAAUUGUCAAGUUUGGCCGCAUUAGCGUUUACAAACCGGUA
RNAcentral lists this small RNA (391 nucleotides) under Histoplasma ohiense. Its description in RNAcentral is "hypothetical lncRNA". The record is from RNAcentral. Lineage: Eukaryota; Fungi; Ascomycota; Eurotiomycetes; Onygenales; Ajellomycetaceae.